Molecule: long non-coding RNA, 2084 nt
Organism: Mauremys mutica (yellowpond turtle)
Lineage: Eukaryota; Metazoa; Chordata; Testudines; Geoemydidae
Exons: 7
Source: RefSeq, a predicted model, not a curated record
GGGGGGUAAUAAGAGCCUAUAUAAGAAAAAUCCCCCAAUAUUCAGAGUGUCCCUAUAAAAUCGGGACAUCUGGUCACCCUAGUAUGGGAGGAGGGAUUGGGGGAUUUGUCUGUGCUUGCUGUGUAAGAACUCAUUAAGGUGGUUGGGUGGCAGUUGGCUCGAGUGUCUUGGUGAGGCAGUUGGUGUGUGUCACAGCAAUGGCCCUGUGGCCAACUUGCCAGCACCUGCAUGUCUCUGGCGGGCUGCUAAUGUAGUGUGAGGCCACUGAGACCGUCUCCCUAGAACCCGAGUGUUGCAGAGCCCAGGGAGUAGUUUCGAGCCCUGGGUGAAGCAUAGAUACCUUGGAUAUGCCUCUAAGGUCUUGGAUGUAGAAAGCACUGUUAACUCUGAGAGCCUCCUACUGGAUUCCAAACAAAAACUUAACUGGACUCAUUGUUAAUUGUCACUCUGGCAAUUCCAUUGCAAGUAUCACACUAUUUGAUGUUUUUCUUUCAUACCCGGUUGCUGGCAGCAAGAAGUUUCAUGAGACUCUCUACAGAGAAGACAUUUCCAGUUAUAUCACUAUAAUGUGCCAGAGCUGGUCAAGACUACAGAGUUAGGUAAUGAGGAUAGAGACAGCAGUUAGAAUUUGUUUCUGAUGGUAUUGCAAGUUUCCUGUCUGGAGUCUGCUAUGCUCCUCCUUUGUAACCAGCAAGCUGUCACGUGAACUGUUAAAUAACUAAGGCUAUGAGCGUCGGCCUCAGAGGAUUUUGUUGCUCUGUCCAGAAAUCCCUAUAUCGUGAGAUGGGCUUUCAAAUGUUGCUUACCUGAAGCCUGACAGCUCUCACCUGAACUGCUGAGAAAUCAGAAUCCAGUAAGAGUCAAAUCUUCAUCUGAUGAAAAUCUGCACAGAAUUGGUCCAUGAUGCUUUUCCAUGAUGUCCCUGACACUUGUCCCUGCCAGCAGUGGGAAAUACCUUCGUUAUGUGACUUGCUGAGCUCAGAUACAUUCAGAAAUGCCAUGUUCUUGACUUUGUCCUGCUCUUUGCAGCCAGCAAGAUGUUGUUUGAAUUCUCUUGAGAACAAGAAUUUACUCAACCGUGGUGUUAAAUAUGUUGUCUAAUGUGCAGUUAACUUGCAGCUACCAAGAAGUCAUACAGUUUUCAAGGCAUGUUGUGGGAGGCAGCCCUGUGAGCCAGGGAAAAAGAUGAGUGUUCUGUCCUGCACCAAAUGAUCUGUGGGAGUAUAGGCAUGUAUGGUACAUACAGGUAUGGACUGACCUGAAAAAGCAUAAAUUUAUUUAACUUCUUGUGGUCAAAUGUGGAAGUGAGUUUCAGUUUUCAUCUUGACUUUUCACUAGUAGAUUAAUAAUUUGUCAUUCUAAUUAUAAGAGGCAGCACUGUCUAGUGCCUAAGGGCACUGGACAAGGAGUCAGGAGACCUGGGUUCUAUUCCUGACCUGUAUGACAGUAGGCAAGUUACUUCACACCUCUGUUUCCCCUCCUAUCCUGUGUCUCUUCUGUUUACAGGGCCGGCACCAGCGAAGGAAGCAUGUGCCUGGGCAGCCAAUAGAAAGGUGUGGCGGCACGUCCGGGUCAGGGACGGGUCCUUCGGCAGCAGCUCAAUCACUCCUCUUCAGACUUCAGCGGCGGGUCCUUCAAUCAUAUCAUUCCCCCCCACCCCGCCACUUGGGGUAGCAAAAAGCUGGAGCCAGCUUUGUCUGUUUAGACUAGAGUAUGAGCUUGUCAAUGCAGGGACUGUCCCAUAUUAGGUGCUAUACAAAUAAUGGGGCCCUAACUUCACUUUAAGGCCUAUAGGUGCUACUGGCAUACAAAUAAUAAAAUAGCUAUCAUACCUCUAAUUGUGUCUGAAUAAAAAAUAUAGUUGUACAUACUAAAUGGUUUUUAAACAUACACAUGUACAGUUUUUAUGAAGUACUUUUGACAUUGUAUGUAGUCGAAUUGUAGCAGCGCAAAAACCCACAGAAUGCAGACAAAGUUGGUAAAGUUUAAUCACUAGACUGAAUAAAUUGUUCUAUGAACUACCUUUUAGUUUAUAAGCCAUUUGACAGCAAUAUGGUUAAUUAAAUAAAAAUGGUUUUAAAAAA